RNAcentral lists this small RNA (3839 nucleotides) under Pan troglodytes (chimpanzee). RNAcentral describes it as "processed transcript". Lineage: Eukaryota; Metazoa; Chordata; Mammalia; Primates; Hominidae. The record is from RNAcentral.
UGUUGAGUGCCUGUUAGAACUCAUCCCUGUGCUAAGUUUAAAGCCUGUUGGGAGCAUCUGAUCCCAGGUGAUGGGAGCAUGCUAGGCCCUGGGCUUUGGCAGUCGAGCUGGUGACAUGCAGCACAAUUGCAAAACCGACCAUAAUGCCACCUGGUGGUUUCACGUGGGGGAUAAUGCACACCAAGGAACCAACUCAAAAGAGAACCAAAAAUAGUGCGUACCAAGAUGCCCAUGGCAGUCCUGGUGACAGUGGCAGAGGCUGACUUGAGCUUGAGGACCUUGAUUUCAAGGACAGAAACUACAGAAGCAGGUACACCUUCUGUUGUACAUGGAACCAGCAGGCCACUCUAGGCUUGUCCCGCAUGCUUCUGGGAGCGGCAUGUUGGUGCAGAGCCCUGGCCUCAGACCACAUGUGGCCCCCAGGAAGCAGGGCCUCCAUUCCAGGGUGAGUUGCCUGAGCCCAGAGAGGUGUGCCCUUCACUGCCACCAGACAGCCAGCGAGAGCAGCUCAGAACUGGGGUGCUGCCAACCUGCCUGAGGUGCCCCCACCAGCCACACUGCCUUUGGGGAACAGCUCCAGGAGAGCUGGUCGGCUGCUUCUCUCCCCAGGUGCAUGUUCCCACGCAGGGAGUAUAGUGCGCGCCAGCUCCGGCAAAUGUCCUCCCCGAAAUGCUGCGCCAAGCACAGGAGCUGUGCACAGACAACCCCUCAGUAACAGGCACAGCAGGCGCGGGUGGAAGGGGUCAUUAGGGUUCCCCUGAGUUCUAGCAGGAACAUUCCCCAGAGUUCUAGCAGGAACUAUAGAAUUCGUUAGUCCUCAGACUGGUCUAUAGCCCGCAUCAUUGUUCACGUCAAAACCAGCAUGUUGAGACUUGUAUUCAUUUGAAAAAAGGAAUUGAGGGUUUGGCGGCUUUUAUUUUAACCUGACCAAGUGAGGGAAUGCUCAGGCCCUUUUGCUCUGGUGCCAUAGGGCGGGGCUGGGCGGGCCAGGCAGGAGGCGUGGCAUGGGAGACCUGCUCCCCAGGGCCUGGCCUGGGGCUGGCUGUACAGAAACACAGACUACAUCUCUCAAGGACCCCAGGAGCUUGCAGUCCCAACAGCAGAAUGUUAUUCAUGUUCUUUUUAUUUUUGCGUUUGUCCAGAAGCACUACCACAGGAAGAGCAAGAAGGAAGUGGAAGUGAGGAGAGAGGAGGUACAGGCCAUUCUCUGCCGCUGUUCUUAGAGACCCCAGCGUCAAGGCACCCUUGCUUGCUGGUCUUUUCCCCAGUCACUGCCAGGGAGCCCCCUAUCCCGGGAGAUGGCGGAUGCGUCCCCCGAUCAGGGAGCAGGCCUCGGGAUGCACAGGAGGCUCCACGCUCUCCACCAGCCCCACGGGCACCCAGCCAGCCCUCUUUUGCCAGCUUCUCUCCAGCUGCCCUGUGACUCCUCAUCUGAGAGAAGACAUUGUGGAUCAUUGUCAUCAGCUUAGGUCCAACCACUGCAGCAAUUUAGGGAAAACCUGUGGCGGUUCUGGGUUUUUUCCCCAUGACCACCUUCCCAAACGCCAGGGUGUUUUAUGAUAGGGCCCCGGUAACUCCAUGCCAGAAAACACCCAACUCUUCCUCUCCCUGCUGUCAGCCCACAGCCCUCUCACAUGACAAAGAUUAAUCUCUUUCCUGCUAACCUGCAGAGGAGAAGGGGACCAGCUCUCCGGACUAUCGGCACUACCUUCGAAUGUGGGCCAAGGAGAAAGAGGCUCAGAAGGAGACGAUUAAGGAUCUUCCCAAGAUGAACCAGGAGCAGUUCAUUGAGCUGUGCAAGACGCUUUACAACAUGUUCAGUGAAGACCCCAUGGAGCAGGACCUGUACCACGCCAUCGCCACCGUGGCCAGCCUCCUGCUCCGCAUCGGAGAGGUGGGGAAGAAGUUCUCAGCCCACACAGGCAGGAAGCCCAGGGACUGUGCCACUGAGGAGGACGAGCCACCAGCACCCGAACUGCAUCAGGACACAGCCAGGGAGCUUCAGCCCCCAGCUGCAGGAGACCCCCAAGCCAAAGCAGGCGGAGACGCACACCUCGGAAAAGCCCCACAGGAGAGCCAGGUGGUGGUGGAGGGGGGCAGCGGCGAGGGACAGGGCUCACCCUCCCAGCUGCUGUCUGACGAUGAAACCAAAGACGACAUGUCCAUGUCCUCAUACUCGGUGGUCAGCACGGGCUCCCUGCAAUGUGAAGACCUUGCAGACGACACGGUGCUGGUGGGCGGGGAGGCCUGCAGCCCCACAGCGCGCAUCGGCGGCACCGUCGACACCGACUGGUGCAUCUCCUUUGAGCAGAUCCUGGCCUCCAUCCUGACGGAGUCCGUGCUGGUGAACUUCUUUGAGAAGAGAGUGGACAUUGGACUCAAGAUCAAGGACCAAAAGAAAGUGGAGAGACAGUUCAGCACCGCCAGUGACCAUGAGCAGCCUGGAGUUUCCGGCUGAUGCCUGCAGCUGUGAGGCCUGGCCCGAGGUGUCAUCAGUGGGGCUGGCCUCAUCUCCUCCUGCCUUUCCUCCCUUAUCAGUUUCUCUUUAAAGGUGUCCCCCUCAUGCUCUCCCAGGAGCAGUGAGUUGUGAGUGGAAAGAAGGCUGGUGCAGACCCAGCUGCCUUAGACAGAUUCCCUGGGCCUGCAUCUCCUGGCGCCGGCUGCUUCUGGGCCCAGGAAGAGGCUGUGGCUCCCACCUUCCUUACACCUGGUGGGAGCCCGCCUCGCACCAGCUGCACCUGCCUAGCAUUAGAGGCUCUCAGAUCUGCCCUUGCUUACCUCAUACCUCUGUGCCCCACACUGCGGCCAGGCCAGCCGAGUCCCUCCAUCCGUGGAUGCUUUCCUGCAGCUAUGUGGUAUGGGGGUCAUUCCUGCCUCUUGGCACCAGGUUGGGGGGCAUGUGCUUGUUGGGCACCAAAGUGAUGGAACCCUCAGGUGCUCUCCGGGAGCCUGAACCUCCUGACUGAGGAACAUGGGCAGAACAUGUUUAUUGCACAGAGUGGGCGCUGCGCACAGGCGUGGCUAUACACGUGCUCUCAGCUCAUCAUCCUUUCCAGUAACUUUAAAAACACAUCCCUCAGGUCCUGAUAUAUUUCCUUGGAUUCAUUUCACUUGGCUAGAAAUUACACUGUGCUCAAUGCCUUAAUAAAUCCCUGAAAGAAAUAAAACCCACUGUGUGCAAUGCCUUGCUGUGGCCCCCAACCACUGCUUAGGCCUCCCAACUUCUCCCCAGGCCAAGUAUGGGGCCCUGGCUGUGUUCUGGAAGUUCAAGACACUUAGUCCUCCACAGUGGGUGGAAGAGUGAAAGGCCUGCCAGGUCAGAUGGAGACGCAGAACCUGCUGGUGCAAGCUGGGCAGGUCCUGACCAACCUGCAUCAGGGGAUGCCCUGAGCUCCACAGGUCUUCAUGGGCAGGGGUUGUGGGUCCUGGUGAAGGAAGUGCAUCCUCAGGCCUGGGCUGUAGCAAGCUGUCUGCCCUUGGGUUCAAGAACCAGACUGUGGAGCCAAAGGUGACCGCAGGGGGCCCCAGGGCUGAGCCACAAGGAUACCCUCACUUUGCAUGAGGAGCUGAAACUGACCAGUGUCCAGUGUUAGCCCCCACAUGGGGCUGCUCUUGCUUCUACUAAAAGAUACAGCAGUUACCCCCUUAUCCACAGGGGAUACAGUGGAUAUCUAAAACCAGACCCCCAGCGGAUGUCUAAAACCACAGAUAAUAACAAACCUUAUACAUACUGUUUUUUCCUAUGCAUACAUACCUGUGAUUAAGUUUAUGAAUUAGGCACCUUAAGAGAUUGACAACAAUAACUAAUAAUAAAAUGUAACGGUUAUACUGUAAUGAAA